UGCAUCGAUGAAGAACGCAGCGAAAUGCGAUACUUGGUGUGAAUUGCAGAAUCCCGUGAACCAUCGAGUCUUUGAACGCAAGUUGCGCCCGAAGCCAUUAGGCCGAGGGCACGCCUGCCUGGGUGUCACA
This 130-nucleotide ribosomal RNA is filed under the name Lonchocarpus sericeus. Its description in RNAcentral is "5.8S ribosomal RNA". It matches the Rfam family "5.8S ribosomal RNA", at positions 29 to 154 of the family's 154-position model. From Rfam's summary of the family: 5.8S ribosomal RNA (5.8S rRNA) is a component of the large subunit of the eukaryotic ribosome. The record is from RNAcentral. Lineage: Eukaryota; Viridiplantae; Streptophyta; Magnoliopsida; Fabales; Fabaceae.